CCAGGUUUAUGUUCCAGAUUCCAGGUUCAUGUUCCAGGUUCCAGGUUCAUGUUCCAGGUUCCAGGUUUAUGUUCCAGGUUCAUGUUCCAGUUCCAGGUUUAUGUUCCAGGUUCCAGGCUCAUGUUCCAGGUUCAUGUUCCAGGUUCAUGUUCCAGGUUCCAGGUUUAUGUUCCAGGUUCCAGGUUCAUGUUCCAGGUUUAUGUUCCAGGUUCCAGGUUUAUGUUCCAGGUUCAUGUUCCAGGUUCAGGUUCCAGUUCCAGGUUUGUUCCAGGAGCAGAAGGUCCAGAUGAUCCAACCCGAAGGUCGGAACCAAACAGGUCUGGAGGCGAGACGUUCAGAAACAAAACGUUCCAAACUGGGAGCAGCUGGAGGUCAAACUGUCUGACC
Long non-coding RNA from Poeciliopsis prolifica (blackstripe livebearer), 387 nucleotides. RefSeq lists it as uncharacterized. The record is from RefSeq and is a predicted model, not a curated record. The transcript is spliced from 3 exons. NCBI's taxonomy places the organism in Eukaryota, Metazoa, Chordata, Actinopteri, Cyprinodontiformes, Poeciliidae.